GACGAACGCUGGCGGCGUGCUUAACACAUGCCAGUCGAACGGAAAGGCCCUGCUUGCAGGGUGCUCGAGUGGCGAACGGGUGAGUAACACGUGGGUGAUCUGCCCCUUACUUUGGGAUAAGCCUGGGAAACUGGGUCUAAUACUGGAUAGGACCAUGCUGUAGGUGGUGUGGUGGAAAGAUUAGUUUCGGUAAGGGAUGAGCUCGCGGCCUAUCAGCUUGUUGGUGGGGUAAUGGCCUACCAAGGCGUCGACGGGUAGCCGGCCUGAGAGGGUGGACGGCCACAUUGGGACUGAGAUACGGCCCAGACUCCUACGGGAGGCAGCAGAGGGGAAUAUUGCACAAUGGGCGCAAGCCUGAUGCAGCGACGCCGCGUGGGGGAUGACGGCCUUCGGGUUGUAAACUCCUUUCAGCCAUGACGAAGCCCUUGUGGUGACGGUAGUGGUAGAAGAAGCACCGGCUAACUACGUG
RNAcentral lists this ribosomal RNA (469 nucleotides) under uncultured bacterium. RNAcentral describes it as "partial 16S ribosomal RNA". It matches the Rfam family "Bacterial small subunit ribosomal RNA", at positions 28 to 507 of the family's 1533-position model. The record is from RNAcentral.